CUCUCCAGUGAUGAGACCCCUACCGCCCCAGUCUGAUAUUGGUGACUGAGUGGUUCCCUCUGAGCCCAG
Molecule: small nucleolar RNA, 69 nt
Organism: Euleptes europaea (tarantolino)
Lineage: Eukaryota; Metazoa; Chordata; Lepidosauria; Squamata; Sphaerodactylidae
Source: RefSeq, a predicted model, not a curated record